This 548-nucleotide ribosomal RNA is filed under the name uncultured bacterium. Its description in RNAcentral is "bacterial SSU rRNA". It matches the Rfam family "Bacterial small subunit ribosomal RNA", at positions 355 to 895 of the family's 1533-position model. The record is from RNAcentral.
UAGGGAANCUUCGGCAAUGGACGGAAGUCUGACCGAGCAACGCCGCGUGAGUGAAGAAGGUUUUCGGAUCGUAAAGCUCUGUUGUAAGAGAAGAACGAGUGUGAGAGUGGAAAGUUCACACUGUGACGGUAUCUUACCAGAAAGGGACGGCUAACUACGUGCCAGCAGCCGCGGUAAUACGUAGGUCCCGAGCGUUAUCCGGAUUUAUUGGGCGUAAAGCGAGCGCAGGCGGUUAGAUAAGUCUGAAGUUAAAGGCUGUGGCUUAACCAUAGUACGCUUUGGAAACUGUUUAACUUGAGUGCAAGAGGGGAGAGUGGAAUUCCAUGUGUAGCGGUGAAAUGCGUAGAUAUAUGGAGGAACACCGGUGGCGAAAGCGGCUCUCUGGCUUGUAACUGACGCUGAGGCUCGAAAGCGUGGGGAGCAAACAGGAUUAGAUACCCUGGUAGUCCACGCCGUNNCGAUGAGUGCUAGGUGUUAGACCCUUUCCGGGGUUUAGUGCCGUAGCUNACGCAUUAAGCACUCCGCCUGGGGAGUACGACCGCAAGGNU